Molecule: ribosomal RNA, 253 nt
Filed under: uncultured bacterium
Lineage: Bacteria
Description: partial 16S ribosomal RNA
Rfam family: Bacterial small subunit ribosomal RNA
Source: RNAcentral
UACGGAGGGAGCUAGCGUUGUUCGGAAUUACUGGGCGUAAAGCGCGCGUAGGCGGCUUUGUAAGUUAGAGGUGAAAGCCCGGGGCUCAACCCCGGAACAGCCUUUAAGACUGCAUCGCUAGAAUCCGGGAGAGGUGAGUGGAAUUCCGAGUGUAGAGGUGAAAUUCGUAGAUAUUCGGAAGAACACCAGUGGCGAAGGCGGCUCACUGGACAGUUCCUGACGCUGAGGCACGAAGGCCAGGGGAGCAAACGGG